Molecule: long non-coding RNA, 252 nt
Organism: Lontra canadensis (Northern American river otter)
Lineage: Eukaryota; Metazoa; Chordata; Mammalia; Carnivora; Mustelidae
Exons: 3
Source: RefSeq, a predicted model, not a curated record
UCCACAACAAAACUGCUUCCUUUGCCCCACGCUCAGUUUUUGCCUAUCUCAGUAAAUGUUAUAGCAGCUUUUUAUGAAGUAAGCCAAAAUGACAGAAAUCAUCCUUGAUUUCUCUUUGCUCCCCAAAAUUAACUAAGGUCCUGACAAUCCUACUGAAACCCAAAUCUGUCCACUCCUCCUCAUCUACACUCCCUUAUUAUGCUAAGUUCUUUCUCAAAAUCACUAAUUUUGGGGGUGCCUGGGUGGCUCAGU